GACGAACGCUGGCGGCGUGCUUAACACAUGCAAGUCGAACGGAAAGGCCCUGCUUGCGUCGGGUGCCCGAGUGGCGAAGGGGUGAGUAACACGUGAGUAACCUGCCCUGGGCGUUGGGAUAUCUUCAGGAAACUGGGGCUAACACCGGAUAGGUGCUCCUGCAGCAUGGGGGGGGUUGGAAAGUUUCGGCGGAUGGGGCUGGACGCUCGGCUUAUCAGCUUGUUGGGGGGGUAGUGGCUUAGCAAGGCAUUGGCGGGUGGCCGGCCUGGGAGGGUGACCAGCGACCUUGGGCCUGAGGUACGGCCCAGACUCGUACGGGGGGCAGCAGUGGAGAGUAUUGCCCAGUCGGCCGACGCCUGAUGCGGCGGCCUCGCGUGCGGGAUGACGGCCUUCGGGUGGUAAACCGCAUUCGCCUGUGACGAAGCGUGAGUGACGGUAAUGGGUAAAGAAGCACCGGCUAACUACGUG
This 468-nucleotide ribosomal RNA is filed under the name uncultured bacterium. RNAcentral describes it as "partial 16S ribosomal RNA". It matches the Rfam family "Bacterial small subunit ribosomal RNA", at positions 28 to 507 of the family's 1533-position model. The record is from RNAcentral.